GGUGCGGUACCCAAGUGGCUAAGGGAGCGGUCUGCAAAACCGCUAUUCGUCGGUUCAAUUCCGACCCGCACCU
RNAcentral lists this transfer RNA (73 nucleotides) under Pseudomonadota bacterium. RNAcentral describes it as "tRNA-Cys". It matches the Rfam family "tRNA". Rfam says of the family: Transfer RNA (tRNA) molecules are approximately 80 nucleotides in length. Their secondary structure includes four short double-helical elements and three loops (D, anti-codon, and T loops). Further hydrogen bonds mediate the characteristic L-shaped molecular structure. tRNAs have two regions of fundamental functional importance: the anti-codon, which is responsible for specific mRNA codon recognition, and the 3' end, to which the tRNAs corresponding amino acid is attached (by aminoacyl-tRNA synthetases). tRNAs cope with the degeneracy of the genetic code in two manners: having more than one tRNA (with a specific anti-codon) for a particular amino acid; and 'wobble' base-pairing, i.e. permitting non-standard base-pairing at the 3rd anti-codon position. Lineage: Bacteria; Pseudomonadati; Pseudomonadota. The record is from RNAcentral. RNAcentral also lists the same sequence under 1 other name.